This 103-nucleotide small nuclear RNA is filed under the name Sus scrofa (pig). The record is from RNAcentral. Lineage: Eukaryota; Metazoa; Chordata; Mammalia; Artiodactyla; Suidae.
GUGCUCAUUUGGCAGCACAUUUACUAAAACUGGAAUGAUGCAAAGAUUAGCAUGGCCCCUGUGCAAGGAUGAUGUGCAAACUCAUGAAGCAUUCCAUAUUUUU